AGGACGAACGCUGGCGGCGUGCUUAACACAUGCAAGUCGAGCGGUGAUCCUCCUUCGGGAGGUGAUCAGCGGCGAACGGGUGAGUAACACGUGGGCAACCUGCCCCUCACACUGGGAUAACCUCGGGAAACCGGGGCUAAUACCGGAUACGACCUCGAGCGGCAUCUCUUGAGGUGGAAAGCUCCGACGGUGAGGGAUGGGCCCGCGGCCUAUCAGCUUGGUUGGUGGGGUAAUGGCCUACCAAGGCGACGACGGGU
Molecule: ribosomal RNA, 257 nt
Filed under: uncultured bacterium
Lineage: Bacteria
Description: partial small subunit ribosomal RNA
Rfam family: Bacterial small subunit ribosomal RNA
Source: RNAcentral